GACAGAGGGUGCAAACGUUGUUCGGAAUUACUGGGCGUAAAGCGAGUGUAGGCGGUCUGAAAAGUCAGGUGUGAAAGCCCUGGGCUCAACCCAGGAAGUGCACUUGAAACUGCCAGGCUAGAGUACUGGAGAGGUUGGUGGAAUUCUCGGUGUAGAGGUGAAAUUCGUAGAUAUCGAGAGGAACACCGGUGGCGAAGGCGGCUUCCUGGACCGACACUGACGCUGAGGCGCGAAAGCUAGGGGAGCAAACGGG
RNAcentral lists this ribosomal RNA (253 nucleotides) under uncultured bacterium. RNAcentral describes it as "partial 16S ribosomal RNA". It matches the Rfam family "Bacterial small subunit ribosomal RNA", at positions 524 to 776 of the family's 1533-position model. The record is from RNAcentral.